GAACUUAUCUGAACUAUGGACCAUUUGGAUUUGACCGUCCGAUCUUUUAAAAUUUUGAUUUUUACUAUCAGACCUUUCAAUUUGUUUGACUCGAAUUAGUCGACGAUGCUUUCACUUUAAAAUUUAAACUAAUUACUUACUUUAAUAAACUUGUAGUUGUGAGAACUCUAUGAAAUAUACUAACUAAAUAUACAAAGAUAAAUGAUUUACGACACGUUUUUACCUAAUAAUA
Molecule: long non-coding RNA, 232 nt
Filed under: Ananas comosus (pineapple)
Lineage: Eukaryota; Viridiplantae; Streptophyta; Magnoliopsida; Poales; Bromeliaceae
Description: long non-coding RNA (ACOM_LNC001550)
Source: RNAcentral